CAGCGUCACGAGCGGCAACCAUAUUUAUUGGGCCUAAAGCGUCCGUAGCCGGUUUGAUAAGUCUUUUGUGAAAUCGUUGCGCUCAACGUAACGUUGUGCAAGAGAUACUGUCAGACUUGGAAUUGGGAAGAGUUAGAGGUAUUCUGGGGGGAGCGGUAAAAUGCUAUAAUCCCUGGAGGACCACCAGUGGCGAAAGCGUCUAACUAGAACAACUUCGACGGUGAGGGACGAAAGCCAGGGGAGCAAAACGGAUUAGAUACCCGAGUAGUCC
Molecule: ribosomal RNA, 271 nt
Filed under: uncultured archaeon
Lineage: Archaea
Description: partial 16S ribosomal RNA
Rfam family: Archaeal small subunit ribosomal RNA
Source: RNAcentral